This 253-nucleotide ribosomal RNA is filed under the name uncultured bacterium. RNAcentral describes it as "partial 16S ribosomal RNA". It matches the Rfam family "Bacterial small subunit ribosomal RNA", at positions 524 to 776 of the family's 1533-position model. The record is from RNAcentral.
UACGUAGGGUGCAAGCGUUAAUCGGAAUUACUGGGCGUAAAGCGUGCGCAGGCGGCUUUGCAAGACAGAUGUGAAAUCCCCGGGCUUAACCUGGGAACUGCAUUUGUGACUGCAUGGCUGGAGUGCGGCAGAGGGGGAUGGAAUUCCGCGUGUAGCAGUGAAAUGCGUAGAUAUGCGGAGGAACACCGAUGGCGAAGGCAGCCCCCUGGGCCAACACUAACGCUCAGGCACGAAAGCGUGGGGAGCGAACAGG